AUGAACGCUGGCGGCGUGCCUAAUACAUGCAAGUCGAGCGAACAGACGAGGAGCUUGCUCCUCUGACGUUAGCGGCAGACGGGUGAGUAACACGUGGAUAACCUACCUAUAAGACUGGGAUAACUUCGGGAAACCGGAGCUAAUACCGGAUAAUAUAUUGAACCGCAUGGUUCAAUAGUGAAAGACGGUUUUGCUGUCACUUAUAGAUGGAUCCGCGCCGCAUUAGCUAGUUGGUAAGGUAACGGCUUACCAAGGCAACGAUGCGUAGCCGACCUGAGAGGGUGAUCGGCCACACUGGAACUGAGACACGGUCCAGACUCCUACGGGAGGCAGCAGUAGGGAAUCUUCCGCAAUGGGCGAAAGCCUGACGGAGCAACGCCGCGUGAGUGAUGAAGGUCUUCGGAUCGUAAAACUCUGUUAUUAGGGAAGAACAAAUGUGUAAGUAACUAUGCACGUCUUGACGGUACCUAGUCAGAAAGCCACGGCUAACUACGUG
RNAcentral lists this ribosomal RNA (496 nucleotides) under uncultured bacterium. RNAcentral's name for it is "partial 16S ribosomal RNA". It matches the Rfam family "Bacterial small subunit ribosomal RNA", at positions 29 to 507 of the family's 1533-position model. The record is from RNAcentral.